Molecule: ribosomal RNA, 460 nt
Filed under: uncultured bacterium
Lineage: Bacteria
Description: partial 16S ribosomal RNA
Rfam family: Bacterial small subunit ribosomal RNA
Source: RNAcentral
GACGAACGCUGGCGGCGUGCUUAACACAUGCAAGUCGAGCGGUAAGGCCUCUUCGGGGGUACACGCGCGGCGAACGGGUGAGUAACACGUGGGUGACCUGCCCUCAGCUCUGGGAUAAGCCUGGGAAACUGGGUCUAAUACCGGAUAUGACCUUUCCUCGCCUGGGGUUUGGGGGAAAGUUUUUUCGGCGGGGGAUGGGCCCGCGGCCUAUCAGCUUGUUGGUGGGGUGAUGGCCUACCAAGGCGACGACGGGUAGCCGGCCUGAGAGGGCGACCGGCCACACUGGGACUGAGACACGGCCCAGACUCCUACGGGAGGCAGCAGUGGGGAAUAUUGCGCAAUGGGCGGAAGACUGACGCAGCGACGCCGCGUGGGGGAUGACGGCCUUCGGGUUGUAAACCUCUUUCGACCCCGACGAAUUUGGACGGUAGGGGUAGAAGAAGCACCGGCCAACUACGUG